GGUAGCAAUACCUGAGUAAAGCGGCGAACGGGUGAGUAACACGUGGUUAACCUGCCGAAAUGUGGGGGAUACCCCGGGGAAACUCGGGACAAUACCGCAUACGGUCUUUUGGGCGUCGGCCCGGAAGAGCAAAGCCUGGGACCGCAAGGCCAGGCGCUGGAAGAGGGGCCCGCGUCUGAUUAGCUAGUUGGUGGGGUAAUGGCUCACCAAGGCUUCGAUCAGUAUCCGGCCUGAGAGGGCGGACGGACACACUGGAACUGAGACACGGUCCAGACUCCUACGGGAGGCAGCAGUGGGGAAUUGUUCGCAAUGGGCGCAAGCCUGACGACGCAACGCCGCGUGGAGGAUGAAGACCUUCGGG
This 361-nucleotide ribosomal RNA is filed under the name uncultured bacterium. RNAcentral's name for it is "bacterial SSU rRNA". It matches the Rfam family "Bacterial small subunit ribosomal RNA", at positions 75 to 422 of the family's 1533-position model. The record is from RNAcentral.